AUCUACGGCCAUGCAAUCCUGAACAUGCCUGAUUCCAUCUGAUCUUGGAAGCUAAGCAGGGUCAGGCCUGGUUAGUACUUGGAUGGGAGGCCACCAAGGAAGACCAGGUGCUGUAGGCG
This 119-nucleotide ribosomal RNA is filed under the name Pteropus alecto (black flying fox). Lineage: Eukaryota; Metazoa; Chordata; Mammalia; Chiroptera; Pteropodidae. The record is from RNAcentral. RNAcentral also lists the same sequence under 1 other name.